RNAcentral lists this ribosomal RNA (254 nucleotides) under uncultured bacterium. Its description in RNAcentral is "partial 16S ribosomal RNA". It matches the Rfam family "Bacterial small subunit ribosomal RNA", at positions 524 to 776 of the family's 1533-position model. The record is from RNAcentral.
UACGUAGGGAGCAAGCGUUGUUCGGAUUUACUGGGCGUAAAGGGCGCGUAGGCGGCAAUUCAAGUCAGCUGUGAAAUCUCCGGGCUUAACUCGGAACGGUCAGCUGAUACUGCUUUGCUAGAGUGCGGAAGGGGCAAUCGGAAUUCUCGGUGUAGCGGUGAAAUGCGUAGAUAUCGAGAGGAACACCUGAGGUGAAGACGGGUUGCUGGGCCGACACUGGCGCUGACAGCGCGAAAGCCAGGGGAGCAAACGGG